UGGCGACCGGGUGAGUAACACGUGACUAACCUACCUUCGAGUGGGGAUAACAUCGGGAAACCGAUGCUAAUACCGCAUAACAUCGCAAGAUCAAAGCAGCAAUGCGCUGGAAGAGGGGGUCGCGGCUGAUUAGCUAGUUGGCGGGGUAACGGCCCACCAAGGCGAAGAUCGGUAGCCGGCCUGAGAGGGCGCACGGCCACACUGGAACUGAAACACGGUCCAG
This 223-nucleotide ribosomal RNA is filed under the name uncultured bacterium. RNAcentral describes it as "partial 16S ribosomal RNA". It matches the Rfam family "Bacterial small subunit ribosomal RNA", at positions 96 to 334 of the family's 1533-position model. The record is from RNAcentral.